This 262-nucleotide ribosomal RNA is filed under the name uncultured Staphylococcus sp. RNAcentral describes it as "partial 16S ribosomal RNA". It matches the Rfam family "Bacterial small subunit ribosomal RNA", at positions 524 to 785 of the family's 1533-position model. Lineage: Bacteria; Bacillati; Bacillota; Bacilli; Caryophanales; Staphylococcaceae. The record is from RNAcentral.
UACGUAGGUGGCAAGCGUUAUCCGGAAUUAUUGGGCGUAAAGCGCGCGUAGGCGGUUUUUUAAGUCUGAUGUGAAAGCCCACGGCUCAACCGUGGAGGGUCAUUGGAAACUGGAAAACUUGAGUGCAGAAGAGGAAAGCGGAAUUCCAUGUGUAGCGGUGAAAUGCGCAGAGAUAUGGAGGAACACCAGUGGCGAAGGCGACUUUCUGGUCUGUAACUGACGCUGAUGUGCGAAAGCGUGGGGAUCAAACAGGAUUAGAUAC